This 2253-nucleotide unclassified non-coding RNA is filed under the name uncultured fungus. RNAcentral describes it as "sequence contains 18S rRNA gene, ITS1, 5.8S rRNA gene, ITS2, 28S rRNA gene". The stretch from base 1117 to 2253 matches the Rfam family "Eukaryotic large subunit ribosomal RNA", at positions 1 to 961 of the family's 3401-position model. Lineage: Eukaryota; Fungi. The record is from RNAcentral.
GGAAGGAUCAUUAUCACGUUUUAAACGUUUAAUCUUUGUGACAGAGUCCGUUAAGUAAAAUCAUUAAUUGCAUCUUUGGGUGUGCCAUUAUUUGAUUUUAUGGACUCAACCUUUUCAAGCUGUUAGCACACACUAUCUACCUAUGACUUUUAGCUUUGGGUCUUAAGUCGUAGCCUAUUUUACUGGUUUGCCAAUUUCACAGUAUACAUGACUUUUAGCUUUGGGUCUUAAGUCUUGUGCUGUGUCCUAGUGGCAAGCUGCUAUCAUAGUUGGGACUAUUUUACUGGCUUGCCAUUUUCACAGUUUUCAUGACUUUUAGCUUUGGGUCUUAAGUCUUGUGCUGUCCUAGUGGCAAGCUGCUAUCAUAGUUGGAACUAUUUUACUGGCUUGCCAUUUUCACAGUUUUCAUGACUUUUAGCUUUGGGUCUUAAGUCUUGUGCUGUCCUAGUGGCAAGCUAAUAUCAUAGUUGGCUGUUGUAAUGGUGAGCUUUUCUUGACAGCGUACAUGACUUUUAGCUUUGGGUCUUAAGUCGUGUGCUGUCAUAAGGGCAAGCCACUGCAAUAGUGUCCAAGUCGAUAGCUGUUCUAAUGGUCCAACCCCUUUUAACCCCCAACCUUAAAAAUCAAUACUUAUUUAAACAAACCUUGUUUAAAAAGAAUUGUCCUAAUGUGGCAUUCUUCUAAAACAAAACGUACAACUGUUAACAACGGAUCUCUUGGUUCUCGCAACGAUGAAGAACGCAGCGAAAUGCGAUACGUAAUGCGAAUUGCAGAAUUCAGUGAAUCAUCAAAUCUUCGAACGCAGACUGCGGUUUUGGGUUAACCCUGAAACCACGCUUCUUUCAGUGUCGCUUAAAUCAUAAUCUGCCGCGUGCUUGUUUUAUAAAUGAGCUCGUGAACAGGAAAAUGAAUGUCAUGCUGCUUGUCGGUAUGUCAUUUUAAAUUUAUUUGGGAAACUGAAAAUCAACAACAUUGUUUUUCAGCAUAUUUCUAUAUUGACAAUCUGGAUACUUUUCCCUUAACGGGAAUUCCAACUUGUCUUAUAGAAAUUGAAAUCAAUGUGAUCUUCUACCUCUCAAUCUUUGGAUAGACAUUUACUUGUCUAACUUUCAAUCUAGACCUGAAAUGAAGCGAGACUACCCGCUGAAUUUAAGCAUAUUAUUAAGCGGAGGAAAAGAAACUAACAAGGAUUCCCCUAGUAACGGCGAGUGAAGCGGGAAGAGCUCAACAUGAAAAUCGGUUUCCCAAACGGGCCGCCGAGUUGUAAUCUAAAGAUACGUGGUCUGCGUGCGACCUGGGUAUAAGUCCUUUGGAACAGGGCAUCAUAGAGGGUGAGAAUCCCGUUUAUGACCUGGAGUUCGCCGCGUACGAUACGUUAUCUACGAGUCGUGUUGCCUGGGAUCGCAACACUAAAUGGGUGGUAAAUUUCAUCUAAAGCUAAAUAUUGGCGAGAGACCGAUAGCGAACAAGUAGUGUGAACGAAAGAUGAAAAGAACUUUGAAAAGAGAGUUAAAAAGUACGUGAAAUUGUUAACAGGGAAGUUAUGAAAACCAGUCUAUCCAGAGGUAUAUUUACUAACUAAUCGGUCGCGACUUGAGAGUAUGGCGGCUUUACGGCCCUGUUUCUUUUGUCGGUCGGAUUCGAGUAGUUGGGUACUGUAUCUCAGGCUGUGUCAGCAUCUCUUUGGGGUGCCGGAGAAGCCCUUGAGGAAGGUAGUAAGCAUGCAGUUUCGGCUGUAAGUUUAUGUUAUAGCCUCUAGGGUUUACGGUGGCCUGGAGAGAGGAACAGAUAAAACACUCUACGGCACCAAGGCUCGGGAUACUGUCUCAUCUGGAGAGCAAAGCUCUGCUUUUGAAACGAUAUCUUGUAUGCUGAGGAUUCGCUAGUCGUGCUUUAGCGAUGUUGACGAAAUGGUUUUCAUUGACCCGUCUUGAAACACGGACCAAGGAGUCUAACAUAUAUGCGAGUAUUUGGGUGAGUAAAACCCUAAUGCGUAAUGAAAGUAAAGGGAAUUUAUUUCCUAAGGUAGGAAUCCCUCUUUUGAGGGAGGCACUAUCGACCGAUCGCCGCUUGCGGUAGAUUUGAGUAAGAGCAUAUCUGUUGGGACCCGAAAGAUGGUGAUCUAUGCCUGAACAGGGUGAAGCCAGGGGAAACUCUGGUGGAAGCUCGUAGCGAUACUGACGUGCAAAUCGUUCGUCUGAUUUGGGUAUAGGGGCGAAAGACUAAUCGAACCAUCUAGUAGCUGGUUCCCUC